RNAcentral lists this ribosomal RNA (775 nucleotides) under uncultured Neocallimastigales. RNAcentral's name for it is "partial large subunit ribosomal RNA". It matches the Rfam family "Eukaryotic large subunit ribosomal RNA", at positions 24 to 614 of the family's 3401-position model. The record is from RNAcentral. Lineage: Eukaryota; Fungi; Neocallimastigomycota; Neocallimastigomycetes; Neocallimastigales.
CGCAUCUGUGCAUGCAGCAUAUCAAUAAGUGGAGGAAAAGAAACUAACAAGGAUUCCCCUAGUAACGGCGAGUGAAGCGGGAAGAGCUCAAAUUUGAAGUCUUAAAGGGUUUCCCUUUACGAAUUGUAGUUUAAAGAAGUGUUUUCUGUUGAGGUUUUGGUAAAAGUUCUUUGGAAUAGGACAUCAUAGAGGGUGAGAAUCCCGUAUUUGACCUUUACUUUCAACUUUGUGAUACACUUUCAAAGAGUCGGAUUGUUUGGGAAUGCAGUCCAAAAUGGGUGGUAAAUUUCAUCUAAAGCUAAAUAUUGGCGAGAGACCGAUAGCGAACAAGUACCGUGAGGGAAGGAUGAAAAGAACUUUGAAAAGAGAGUUAAACAGUACGUGAAAUUGUCAAAAGGGAAGCGUUUGACACCAGUGUUGUUUUUUCUGAAAAUCAAUUAAAGAACUGUUUAUGCUAAGCUGUUUAGACUUUAUCAGCUAUCUGUUUAGUUUUGAGCUUUUCUUUAAUGCACUUUUCAGUUAACAAGUCAACAUCAAUUUCUUUUGCUGUAAAAAAGCUUGAGGAAGGUGGCUUGAGAUUCGUCUUAAGUGUUUAUAGCCUCUUGCCUAUGCAGUCGGAGAGAUUGAGGUCUGCAGCGUAGAUCCUUCGGGGCUAAAUGCAUUUGUGCUAAGUUAUAGCAUUUUAUAGACAACUUGUUGACUAUGAUUUGUCUUGUAGCUUACUCGCUUAUGUUAUUUUACCUACGCUUAGGAUGUUGAGUCAUCACACAUCUCU